Brassica rapa (field mustard) is the source of this 1767-nucleotide long non-coding RNA. RefSeq lists it as uncharacterized. Lineage: Eukaryota; Viridiplantae; Streptophyta; Magnoliopsida; Brassicales; Brassicaceae. The record is from RefSeq and is a predicted model, not a curated record.
AACUAGAAAGAUUCUUGCUUUUGGAAUACCCAUCAUUGACAGAAUCAUAAAAUUCAACUCUAAACACAUGUUUGUUAAUCCUAUGAUUAUUCUUGUGUAUCUGAGGACUCAAAGAUUUUAGUAGGGAAUUUGAUGACGCCUUCUCGAGAUGGUGGUUUAUGAAAGUUUUGUUGAGUCUUCUACCAAUAAUAAUGCAAAAUAAAGUAGACUUACCUCCCUUCUCCUGCUCCCACAUCACCCUUGAAAUGAGGGCGUUUUGGGCCACGUGUCGGCCAAUCCCUGAAACUUAAAAAAUGUACUAUCGAUUUGGACUUUUAAAGCUCUCUAGGUCUAGAUUCAUAUCAGUCCAACCUAAGCCUUUUAUUAAAUCUCCCUCUUCUUAGUGUUGCCGUCUCUUCCUUUUCACCUUACCAGAAGCAAAACGUUUCCAUUAGCGUUUAUGGUAUAAAGCUUAAUACAAACAACGACGCUCUUUUCACCACUUUAUUCCAUCUGCACCCCCGCCCUGCAGUCUCUGAUCUAACCGCAAAUGUCAAGCCUACCAUCGCUCUCUCUCAGGUUUCAAACCCUUUCAGUAUUAAAGCCAGAGACUCUCACUUCCAUUAUAGACCCUCUCAGUCAGAGUCUCGAUAGGUUCUCUCUUGCCGGAUUCACAGUUCAAGAUUACACUGAUUCGUAUGAGAGUAACGAAUGGUAGCAGCAACAGGCGUGAUGGGUUAUCAGUAUCUGAGCUUCUGAUAUCCCCGGAGAUUUUCAAAGCUGUGAAUAAUGGAGGAAUUCAGAAAUUCUUUCCUAUUCAUCUGUGCUUGAGCCAGGAUGCAAGGUGUGCUACGAAAUGAACUAGAAAGAUUCUUGCUUUUGGAAUUCCCAUCAUUGACAGAAUCAUAAAAUUCAACUCUAAACACAGGUUUUUAAAUCCUAUGAUUGUACUUGUGUAUUUGAGGACUCAAAGAUUUUAGUAGGGAAUUUGAUGACGCCUUCUAGAGAUGAUGGUUUAUGAAAGCUUUGUUGAGUCUUCUACCAAUAAUAAUGCAAAAUAAAGUAGACUUACCUCCCUUCUCCUGCUGCCACAUUACCCUUGAAAGAGGGACGUUUUGCGCCACGUGUCGGCCAAUCCCUGAAACUUAAAAAAUGUACUAUCGAUUUUGACUUUUAAAGCUCUCUAGGUCUAGAUUCAUAUCAGCCCAACCUAAGCCUUUUAUUAAAUCUCCCUCUUCUUAGUGUUGUCGUCUCUUCCUUUUCACCUUACCAGAAUAAAACGUUUCCAUUGGCGUUUAUGGUAUAAAGCUUAAUACAAACAACGACGCUCUUUUCACCACCUUAUUCCAUAUGCGCCACCGUCCUGCAGUCUCUGAUCUAACCGCGAAUGUCAAGCCUACCAUCGCUCUCUCUCUCUCUCAGGCUUCAAAACCCUUUCAGUAUUAAAGCCAGAGACUCUCACUUCCAUUCUAGGCCUUCUCAGUCAGAGCCUCGAUAGGUUCUCUCUUGCCGGAUCCGCGGUUCAUGAUUACAUUGAUUCGUAUGAGAGUAACGAAACAGGCGUGAUGGGUUAUCAGUAUCUGAGCUUCUGAUGUCCCCGGAGAUUUUCAAAGCUGUGAAUAAUGGAGGAAUUCAGAAACUCUUUCCUAUUCAUGUACGCUCUUCUUUCUGAAAAUGGGGUCAAUCAAAGUUAUUUGUUUUUUUUUAACUCAGUAUUGAUGUCGGUUGUUUGUAUGGAAAGUUGUGCUUGAGCCAGGAUGCAAGGUGUGCUACGAAAUGAACUAGAAA